This 496-nucleotide ribosomal RNA is filed under the name uncultured bacterium. RNAcentral describes it as "partial 16S ribosomal RNA". It matches the Rfam family "Bacterial small subunit ribosomal RNA", at positions 29 to 507 of the family's 1533-position model. The record is from RNAcentral.
AUGAACGCUGGCGGCGUGCCUCAUCCAUGCAAGUCGAGCGCACAGACGAGGAGCUUGCUCCUCUGACGUUAGCGGCGGACGGGUGAGUAACACGUGGAUAACCUACCUAUAAGACUGGGAUAACUUCGGGAAACCGGAGCUAAUACCGGAUAAUAUAUUGAACCGCAUGGUUCAAUAGUGAAAGACGGUUUUGCUGUCACUUAUAGAUGGAUCCGCGCCGCAUUAGCUAGUUGGUAAGGUAACGGCUUACCAAGGCAACGAUGCGUAGCCGACCUGAGAGGGUGAUCGGCCACACUGGAACUGAGACACGGUCCAGACUCCUACGGGAGGCAGCAGUAGGGAAUCUUCCGCAAUGGGCGAAAGCUUGACGGAGCAACGCCGCGUGAGUGAUGAAGGUCUUCGGAUCGUAAAACUCUGUUAUUAGGGAAGAACAAAUGUGUAAGUAACUAUGCACGUCUUGACGGUACCUAAUCAGAAAGCCACGGCUAACUACGUG